This 655-nucleotide unclassified non-coding RNA is filed under the name Scleria carphiformis. RNAcentral's name for it is "sequence contains ITS1, 5.8S rRNA gene, ITS2". The stretch from base 209 to 363 matches the Rfam family "5.8S ribosomal RNA". The record is from RNAcentral. Lineage: Eukaryota; Viridiplantae; Streptophyta; Magnoliopsida; Poales; Cyperaceae.
CCCGUGAAAACACGACCGGAGCACGCGUUAUGAAACUCUCCUGGAGCGGCGUGGCCGCACCAGACAACCGGCCGCCGUCCUCGUGCCCACGGGUGCGUUGGCUGCGUGCCGAUAACGGCGUGGGAUGACGCCAAGGAACGUGCGAUGCGGCGGCGGCGGCGGCUCGUUAGUCCGUGCCGCUCGCUGCCGGCGUGAAGGAAACAAACAUGACUCUUGGCAACGGAUAUCUCGGCUCUCGCAUCGAUGAAGAACGUAGCGAAAUGCGAUACGUGGUGUGAAUUGCAGAAUCCCGCGAACCAUCGAGUCUUUGAACGCAAGUUGCGCCCGAGGGUCCAGCCCGAGGGCACGCCUGCCUCAUGGGCGUAAGAAGCCCAUCCACGCUCGUGCGGCUUAGCCACGUUACUCGUGACGGGCGAGUCCUGAUGCGGAAGAUGGCCCUCCGAGCCCGAGGGCACGGUGGGCCGAAGCGCGCGCUUUUUCGGAUGUGGCCGGAGCGGCUAGUGGUGGGAUCCUGCGCAUGCCGCCCCGUGCCUUGCCGAUUCGGGCGCAGCCAUUCGACCCCGUACGAGGAGCCCGUCGUCGGCGCGGCCGAUCGCGAGGAACCCUCGGAACAAUACCCCAGGUCAGGCGGGACUACCCGCCGAGUUUAAGCAUA